RNAcentral lists this ribosomal RNA (796 nucleotides) under uncultured bacterium. RNAcentral's name for it is "bacterial SSU rRNA". It matches the Rfam family "Bacterial small subunit ribosomal RNA", at positions 8 to 796 of the family's 1533-position model. The record is from RNAcentral.
AGAGUUUGAUCAUGGCUCAGAUUGAACGCUGGCGGCGUGCCUAACACAUGCAAGUCGAGCGGUAACAGGUGUAGCAAUACAUGCUGACGAGCGGCGGACGGGUGAGCAAUAUUUGGGAAUCUGCCUAUUAGUGGGGGACAACCCGGGGGAAACUCGGGCUAAUACCGCAUACGCACUACGGUGGAAAGCCGGGGACCGCAAGGCCUGGCGCUAAUAGAUGAGCCCAAAUCGGAUUAGCUAGUUGGUGAGGUAACGGCUCACCAAGGCGACGAUCCGUAGCUGGUCUGAGAGGACGACCAGCCACACCGGAACUGAGACACGGUCCGGACUCCUACGGGAGGCAGCAGUGGGGAAUAUUGGACAAUGGGCGAAAGCCUGAUCCAGCGACGCCGCGUGGGUGAAGAAGGCCUGCGGGUUGUAAAGCCCUUUCGGUGGGGAUAAAAAGCCUUGGUUUAACACACCAGGGUCUUGAUCUAACCCAAGAAAGAAGCACCGGCUAACUCUGUGCCAGCAGCCGCGGUAAUACAGAGGGUGCGAGCGUUAAUCGGAAUUACUGGGCGUAAAGCGCACGUAGGUGGCUUGGCAAGUCGAGUGUGAAAUCCCCGGGCUUAACCUGGGAACUGCAUUCGAGACUGCUUUGCUAGAGUAUGGGAGAGGGAAGUGGAAUUUCCGGUGUAGCGGUGAAAUGCGUAGAUAUCGGAAGGAACAUCAGUGGCGAAGGCGACUUCCUGGACCAAUACUGACACUCAAGUGCGAAAGCGUGGGGAGCAAACAGGAUUAGAUACCCUAGUAGUCC